CGGGAAGGGGAAAGAUGGUGGGCCGCGGAACAUGUGCGUCCCUCGUGCCAUAUGUCUGCUGACCAUCACCUUUAG
This 75-nucleotide microRNA precursor is filed under the name Jaculus jaculus (lesser Egyptian jerboa). Its description in RNAcentral is "miRNA (ENSJJAG00000005818.1)". It matches the Rfam family "mir-654 microRNA precursor family". Lineage: Eukaryota; Metazoa; Chordata; Mammalia; Rodentia; Dipodidae. The record is from RNAcentral.